GGGGUUAUAGCUCAGCUGGGAGAGCGCUUGCAUGGCAUGCAAGAGGUCCGCGGUUCGAUCCCGCGUAGCUCCACCA
RNAcentral lists this transfer RNA (76 nucleotides) under Escherichia coli. RNAcentral's name for it is "tRNA-Ala". It matches the Rfam family "tRNA". From Rfam's summary of the family: Transfer RNA (tRNA) molecules are approximately 80 nucleotides in length. RNAcentral also lists the same sequence under 245 other names. Lineage: Bacteria; Pseudomonadati; Pseudomonadota; Gammaproteobacteria; Enterobacterales; Enterobacteriaceae. The record is from RNAcentral.